GAUGAAUGCUGGCGGCGUGCCUAACACAUGCAAGUCGAGCGGCAGCGAGGGGUGCUUGCACCCUGUCGGCGAGCGGCGAACGGCUGAGUAACGCGUAGGAAUUUGCCCCAAAGUGAGGAAUAACUGCCCGAAAGGGUAGCUAAUGCCGCAUAUGGUCUUCGGAUUAAAGGAUUUAUCCGCUUUGGGAGAAGCCUGCGUUGGAUUAGGUUGUUGGUAGGGUAAUGGCCUACCAAGCCGACGAUCCAUAGCUGGCCUGAGAGGAUGAUCAGCCAGACUGGAACUGAGACACGGUCCAGACUCCUACGGGAGGCAGCAGUGAGGAAUCUUCCACAAUGGGCGAAAGCCUGAUGGAGCAACGCCGCGUGAAGGAUGAAGGCCUUCGGGUUGUAAACUUCUUUUAUGAGUGAAGAAUAUGACGGUAACUCAUGAAUAAGCACCGGCUAACUACGUG
This 451-nucleotide ribosomal RNA is filed under the name uncultured bacterium. RNAcentral describes it as "partial 16S ribosomal RNA". It matches the Rfam family "Bacterial small subunit ribosomal RNA", at positions 28 to 507 of the family's 1533-position model. The record is from RNAcentral.